CACGUAGGGGGCGAGCGUUGUCCGGAUUCAUUGGGCGUAAAGCGCGCGCAGGCGGCUCGGAAAGUCGGGUGUGAAAACCUGGGGCUCAACCCCGGGCGUGCAUCCGAUACUGCCGGGCUUGAGGCAGGUAGGGGAGAUCGGAAUUCCUGGUGUAGCGGUGAAAUGCGCAGAUAUCAGGAGGAACACCGGUGGCGAAGGCGGAUCUCUGGGCCUGUCCUGACGCUGAGGCGCGAAAGCUAGGGGAGCGAACAGG
RNAcentral lists this ribosomal RNA (253 nucleotides) under uncultured bacterium. Its description in RNAcentral is "partial 16S ribosomal RNA". It matches the Rfam family "Bacterial small subunit ribosomal RNA", at positions 524 to 776 of the family's 1533-position model. The record is from RNAcentral.